RNAcentral lists this ribosomal RNA (253 nucleotides) under uncultured bacterium. RNAcentral's name for it is "partial 16S ribosomal RNA". It matches the Rfam family "Bacterial small subunit ribosomal RNA", at positions 524 to 776 of the family's 1533-position model. The record is from RNAcentral.
UACGGGGGGGGCAAGCGUUGUUCGGAAUUACUGGGCGUAAAGGGCUCGUAGGUGGCCAACUAAGUCAGACGUGAAAUCCCUCGGCUUAACCGGGGAACUGCAUCCGAUACUGGAUGGCUUGAAUCCGGGAGAGGGAUGCAGAAUUCCAGGUGUAGCGGUGAAAUGCGUAGAUAUCUGGAGGAAUACCGGUGGCGAAGGCGGCAUCCUGGACCGGCAUUGACGCUGAGGAGCGAAAGCUAGGGGAGCAAACGGG